GGAAACCUUUAUCAAAUUACCUGAAGACAUGGUUUGUAGGUUCAUUUCCAGUACGACUACUGCUGGUUGGAAAUGCCUUGAACAAAUCACUGCAGAGAAAUCAGUUGGUUCCUUGCAUCAAUUGUGAGAAUAGGGACGAAUCCUAUCAAGAUGUAUCGGUGGAGCGCCCGCCAUACCAUAGUUACAUGGACUCAACUUCAGGGCAGCUUGAACCAGCUUCAGGGGCACGUGCAAGUAUUCCAGGAGAGGAAUACUGGCCAGAAGGAACUGCUAGUCGUGUUAGAGC
This 286-nucleotide unclassified non-coding RNA is filed under the name Hevea brasiliensis (rubber tree). Lineage: Eukaryota; Viridiplantae; Streptophyta; Magnoliopsida; Malpighiales; Euphorbiaceae. The record is from RNAcentral.